This 362-nucleotide long non-coding RNA is filed under the name Homo sapiens (human). RNAcentral describes it as "non-protein coding lnc-MRPL19-12:1". Lineage: Eukaryota; Metazoa; Chordata; Mammalia; Primates; Hominidae. The record is from RNAcentral.
UCACGUGCCUUCUUCUGUCUCCAUCUCUCCCACAAGGUUACCAAGCACCUUAGACACCCCCCUAACAAAGAACACACACACACACACAAGAAAGUGAGCAGGAUUUACUCAGAGUUGGGGUUUCACCUACUGGUUUACUCAGAAGCUACACAAAAGAAUAAGGCAGUUAUGUGUAUUAGCAAAUGUGUUGCUGAAAUAAGGGACCACGUGGAUAGGAGAGGAGGCAACAGAUGCACUGGGAGAAAAUACGAGGGGCCAGGGGCCCUGCGGGGUUGAAGAUCUGAUAGAGCAGAAUGAGGACAUGAGACAGCUACAAGAUUAGGACAUUUUCCACAAUUUUCUUCCAUCAUACUUUUCAUCAU